RNAcentral lists this long non-coding RNA (4204 nucleotides) under Homo sapiens (human). Its description in RNAcentral is "PREDICTED lncRNA (TCONS_00248663)". The record is from RNAcentral. Lineage: Eukaryota; Metazoa; Chordata; Mammalia; Primates; Hominidae.
CGCCCACAUCAUGACGCCCGAGGAGAACGCGGGUACCAAACUCUUGCUGCAGGGUUUUGAGAGCCGCUUCCUAGUGGCGCGCACACUGCGCUCCUUCCCCUGGCAGGUGGGCGGCGGGGCGAGCGGAGAGGCCCGCGGGGCUCGCGGAGUCCAGGGGCAGACGGGAUGGGUCUCCGUGCUGAAACCCCCGGCGCUCCUGCCACAGCUUAGAGGCAAAGUUAAGAGACUCAUCAGAUUCUGAGCUGCUGCAGGAUAUUUUGCAGAAGACUGUGAGGCAUCCUGUGUGUGUGAAGCACCCGCCGUCAGUCAAGUAUGCCUGGUGCUUUCUCUCAGAACUCAUCAAAAAGCCCUCGGGAGGCUCGGUCACACUCUCCGAAAGCAUGGCCAUCAUCUCCCACAGCACCACGGGUCUGGUCACAUGGGAUGCCGCCCUCUACAUUGCAGAAUGGGCCAUCGAGAACCCGGCAGCCUUCACUCACAGAUGUGCUGUAUUGCCCAGAAGCCAUUGUGUCACUGGUCAGGGUCCUGCGGAGGCUGGCUGCCUGCCGGGAGCACCAGCGGGCUUCUGAGGUCUACGUGGCCUUCGCUGUCCGCAAUUGAGAGACGUGCCAGCUGUUCACCACCGAGCUAGACUCUCGCUCUGUCACCCAGGCUGGAAUGCAAUGGCGUGAUCUCAGCUCACUGCAACCUCUGCCUCCCAGGUUGAAGUAAUUCUAGUGCGUCAGCCUCCCAAGUAGCUGGGAUUACAGGUGCCCACCACCAUACCUAGCUAAGUUUUGUAUUUUUAGUAGAGACACUUUUCGCCCUGUUGGCCAGGUUGGUCUCGAACUCCGGACCUCAGGUGAUCUGCCUGCCUCGGCCUCCCAGAGUUCUAGGAUUACAGGUGUGAGCCACCAUGCCCAUUCAGAAAAAAAUUUUUAAAUAAACAAUAGCCAGAGUCCCCUGGUCAGGUGGAGAAAGUGCACUGCUCUGGCAGGGAGGCCCCCAGCCUCUGUGAGAUACUCUCCUGGAGGGCGCAUUUCAGCCUAAGGGCCUGGUCACUCAAUGACCCAAAUGGGGAUUCAGGGAGGCCCACCUCCACCACCCCUACUGUCCCCAGGCUGCCCCACCCAGUAGCCCAGGACAGGAACAUGUUGCAGGCCAGGCAAGCAGCUCACAGCUCAGUGGCCCGGACAAGCCCAGAGCUCCUCACCGCAGCCACACACCUACUUUCUAAAGCUGCCAGCAGGAUAGAGAAGUCUUCGUCCUCUAUGAGAAGAGAAUUGAAUGUCAGGGGCCUGUUUCUAGACAGCACUCUUCCAGCUCACACACCCUCCCCUUCUCAUUGAGACCGUGGCGGGGUGGGGGCAUCCAGGACUGGUAGGGGUAAGGAGAACACAGGUUGGCCAGGUGCCCGUCACACCAGCCCCAAGUGCCCCAGGGGUCGUGCAGACCUGUCCAGGUGUGCUGCUGACCAGCAGGGCUGGCCGCUCAUGGAGACGCAUCACCAGCCCGCUCCCAGCAUCCUGCUCCAUGAAGGCUGACCGCUCCAUGGCUGGGUCCUCAGGUUCUGAGCUGAAGGAGGAGAAAAAAACCCUGUGAGAGGCCACAGAGCAGGCCCAGGACCCAGAACGGGCAUCUCCUGCCAUGGCAAGGCCUGCAGGCUCCCAACAGUUGGGGUGCCCAGCCGCAUCAGCAGCACCAGGCCACCCCUGCCAAUCGAGGCAUGGGCUUGCUUUCUCUAAUAUUGUUUCUGGGUGCUAAGGUUACAACAGCAAACAAGACUGACUCAUUCCUUUUCUCCACGGGACUUACUGUCUUAUCAUCCCCUGGACUCAAGAUGAGGGUGCUAGGAUGCCCUCCCACACCACCCCAGCUUACCCAGGGGCACACCUCAGGGUAUGUGGACCUGCACAAAGGUCCCUUCCUUAGCCCCAUGAGACACCCCAGGGGACACACAGGUCCACAGAUCCUGCCACAGGCCUGGGAACCCAUUGGCAGGAGAGUAAGACAGUGCAGGGGUCCACAAACAUUUCUUAAGGGGCCAGAGAGUAAAUACUUCAGGCUUUGCAGGCCAGACGUUCUCUGUUGCAAAACGCAAUUCUGCUAUUGUAGCUCAAAGGCGGCUAUAGACAACUCAGAAGUUAAUGAGUGUGUUGUGUCCCAAUGAAACUUGAUUUACAAAAGCAGGAGACUGGCCUGUAGCCUUAGUUUGCCAACCCCUGGAUGAGUGGGUUCCCAGGUCUGCAGUGAGAAGGGGAGAGGCCAGGGCAGUGGCGAGCAGGAGAGAAGGCAGCUGAGGAUGGGAGGCCUACCAGGCCCUGAACAGAGAGUGCGUGCUGCCCACCUUCAUGAGGAGCCGGUGCUGCAGGUCCAGAGGUGCCUCUUUAAAGAAAGAUGCCAGCUUGUCGUAGACGGUCACAGCCCUGCAAUGAAAUCAUGGCAGGACUAUUGCAUUAGUCCAGCGUGGAGGCUACUUUCUGCUCAAACCACUCAUUUGGGUCCCGUGCCCAACGUCACCCAUCCUCAGCAAAACCACCAUUAUUUCCUUCUGCCUGGUUUCCAGAAAGUUCCCCUAAAGCCCUGAGGAAUCACCGAAUGAAAGGGGCUUUUUACAAACAGGAAACUUAAGUGGAGUGCCAAUACACAACAUGGAUUGCAGCAGGCUCGGUCUAAGAUAAAACCAGACGGUGGACAACAGGCCAGGUAAGACCCACAUGGUCUGCACUCCCUGGUUCUGUUAUUGUGUGGAGGAAUGUCUUAGUCUGUUGCUCCUGUGGGUGUAGCUAAAGCACAAACCAGGAGUCCUCAUCCUUAGAAAGCAGUUAGACAGACAUCUGAGAACCAAUCCCAAACUGCAGCCUUCCACAGAACCUUCUGGAACCUUCUGGAAUGCAACUUAUUACUGCCAGAGGGUCUUUGAUGAGAGUCUACUCUCCACCAUUUGUCUUCAGAGAGAAUACCCACCUAUUCUCUUUCCGUGGAAAGGUAAGUUAUUGGAGUUUAUGCAGUCUGGUAUAUUAAUUGAGAGCUUUACUUCAAAGAAUGUCACGUUUAUGGUUCAGUCUCACAGACUGGGUUAAAAAGGCAGUGUUGACUAUUAAGUUGUAAAUUACUAUGAUGAUCAUUAUUAUUGAAGCAAGCUGUGAGAAAUGAGCAUUAUCUUACAAUAUCUGCAUUUUAGUGAACCUGAAGGAAGAGUGUAUUGCUGGAAUUACAGAAGCCUGAGAACCACAGGGGAAUUCUCACUGCAGGGUAUUCAGGGUCAAAAGCUGAUUCUAUUUUGCAUGCUCAAUCCUUCGUCAAUUUAUUUUUAUUUCUUUCUUUAUUUUUUGAGACAGGGUCUUACUCUGUCGCCCAGGCUGGAAGGCCUUGGUGCAAUCUCAGCUCACUGCAACCUCGCCUCCCGGGUUCAAGUGAUUCUCCUGCCUCAGCCUCCCACGUGACUGGGAUUACAGGUUUUUGCUUGUCUGAUGACUGAUGGCUCCACCCAGACCUGCCAACCACUCCCGCGGCCCCAUCCAGAAGUGGCUCAGCGUGCAUGAGGACCAUCUCCAACAUCCCUGUGAUUGUACCCCCAACCAACCAGCAGCAAGAACCUAUUGCCUAGUCACCUCCCCUCUCUUUCCCCAACUAUCAUUGAAAAAGUCUGGCUUCCAAAUUUUCCGGGAGACUGAUUUGGGUAAUAAUAAAACUCCAGUCUUCUGUUCAGCCAGCUCUGCAUGAAUUAAGCUCUUUCUCUAUUGCAAUUUUCCUGUCUUGAUAAAUUGUCUCUACCUGGGCAGGGGGCAAAAUGAACCCAUAGGGUGGUUACAGUACCUUGCUGGGUCACUUGAUAUUCCUGGAGGGUCACGGGAAGCGCUAUGUGAAUCCCACUUCUGAUAUUGUAAGAUUCUCUCCAGGGCCUGAAAGCUUAAGGGGUUGAGCAACUCCUCCCUUCUCAGGCCCAGCCCCAGGGCGCAAGGCCGCUUGCAUCAGCAGCGUGCGUGAGCAGAUGCGCCAGCAAGAUAGCAAAAGCAGGAAGAGAGCCAGCCGGAAGACAAGUACCUCUGAAGAUGGAGAAAGAGGCCAUCUGGGUACAACGUUGCAGUUACGUCAGACCAGGACACUUCCUGUUUACAGGAGACUAUAAAACCUUUGCCCCAUCCUCACUUGGGGCUGACGCCGUUUUAGGCCUCAGCCCGCCAGCACCCAGGCUCUCAUUAAAACAGCAUGUUGCUCCACA